This 71-nucleotide transfer RNA is filed under the name Tricholepidion gertschi. Its description in RNAcentral is "tRNA-Lys". Lineage: Eukaryota; Metazoa; Arthropoda; Insecta; Zygentoma; Lepidotrichidae. The record is from RNAcentral.
CAUCAAGUGACUGAAAGAAAGUAAUGGUCUCUUAAACCACAUAAUAACAGACCGACGCCUGUUCUUGAUGA